CGCGGUGACCUGCCGAGUCCGUGCAGUCAGGAGGCACGGAGCCGGGGAACCACUCGACCUUCCGGUGUGGAGGGUCACGGGGUGAAUCGGCGCGUUCCAGCGCCGUAGGGCGACUUCCCCGCCCGAAUCCGUCAGCUAACCCGGUAGGCGCAAGCGGAAGAACCG
RNAcentral lists this small RNA (165 nucleotides) under Microbispora sp. ATCC PTA-5024. RNAcentral's name for it is "c-di-AMP riboswitch aptamer (ydaO/yuaA leader)". It matches the Rfam family "c-di-AMP riboswitch aptamer (ydaO/yuaA leader)". Rfam says of the family: This family represents a conserved RNA structure found upstream of the ydaO and yuaA genes in Bacillus subtilis and related genes in other bacteria. The ydaO/yuaA element is thought to act as a genetic "off" switch for the ydaO and yuaA genes in its native state. It is believed that the element may be triggered during osmotic shock leading to activation of ydaO, a predicted amino acid transporter gene, and members of the yuaA-yubG operon which code for KtrA and KtrB K+ transporters. Lineage: Bacteria; Bacillati; Actinomycetota; Actinomycetes; Streptosporangiales; Streptosporangiaceae. The record is from Rfam by way of RNAcentral. RNAcentral also lists the same sequence under 1 other name.